AUUGAACGCUGGCGGCAGGCCUAACACAUGCAAGUCGAGCGGAUGAAGGGAGCUUGCUCCUGGAUUCAGCGGCGGACGGGUGAGUAAUGCCUAGGAAUCUGCCUGGUAGUGGGGGAUAACGUCCGGAAACGGGCGCUAAUACCGCCUACGUCCUGAGGGAGAAAGUGGGGGAUCUUCGGACCUCACGCUCUCAGAUGAGCCUAGGUCGGAUUAGCUAGUUGGUGGGGUAAAGGCCUACCAAGGCGACGAUCCGUAACUGGUCUGAGAGGAUGAUCAGUCACACUGGAACUGAGACACGGUCCAGACUCCUACGGGAGGCAGCAGUGGGGAAUAUUGGACAAUGGGCGAAAGCCUGAUCCAGCCAUGCCGCGUGUGUGAAGAAGGUCUUCGGAUUGUAAAGCACUUUAAGUUGGGAGGAAGGGCAGUAAGUUAAUACCUUGCUGUUUUGACGGUACCAACAGAAUAAGCACCGGCUAACUUCGUG
Molecule: ribosomal RNA, 484 nt
Filed under: uncultured bacterium
Lineage: Bacteria
Description: partial 16S ribosomal RNA
Rfam family: Bacterial small subunit ribosomal RNA
Source: RNAcentral